RNAcentral lists this ribosomal RNA (460 nucleotides) under uncultured bacterium. RNAcentral's name for it is "partial 16S ribosomal RNA". It matches the Rfam family "Bacterial small subunit ribosomal RNA", at positions 338 to 795 of the family's 1533-position model. The record is from RNAcentral.
CCUACGGGAGGCAGCAGUGAGGAAUAUUGGUCAAUGGACGAGAGUCUGAACCAGCCAAGUAGCGUGAAGGAUGACUGCCCUACGGGUUGUAAACUUCUUUUAUAUGGGAAUAAAGUGUUCCACGUGUGGCAUUUUGUAUGUACUAUAUGAAUAAGGAUCGGCUAACUCCGUGCCAGCAGCCGCGGUAAUACGGAGGAUCCGAGCGUUAUCCGGAUUUAUUGGGUUUAAAGGGAGCGUAGGUGGAUUGUUAAGUCAGUUGUGAAAGUUUGCGGCUCAACCGUAAAAUUGCAGUUGAAACUGGCAGUCUUGAGUACAGUAGAGGUAGGCGGAAUUCGUGGUGUAGCGGUGAAAUGCUUAGAUAUCACGAAGAACUCCGAUUGCGAAGGCAGCUCACUGGACUGCAACUGACACUGAGGCUCGAAAGUGUGGGUAUCAAACAGGAUUAGAUACCCCUGUAGUC